Molecule: ribosomal RNA, 164 nt
Filed under: Crepis setosa
Lineage: Eukaryota; Viridiplantae; Streptophyta; Magnoliopsida; Asterales; Asteraceae
Description: 5.8S ribosomal RNA
Rfam family: 5.8S ribosomal RNA
About the family: 5.8S ribosomal RNA (5.8S rRNA) is a component of the large subunit of the eukaryotic ribosome. It is transcribed by RNA polymerase I as part of the 45S precursor that also contains 18S and 28S rRNA. Functionally, it is thought that 5.8S rRNA may be involved in ribosome translocation.
Source: RNAcentral
UAAACGACUCUCGGCAACGGAUAUCUCGGCUCACGCAUCGAUGAAGAACGUAGCAAAAUGCGAUACUUGGUGUGAAUUGCAGAAUCCCGUGAACCAUCGAGUUUUUGAACGCAAGUUGCGCCCGAAGCCAUCUGGUUGAGGGCACGCCUGCCUGGGCGUCACGC